Molecule: ribosomal RNA, 114 nt
Filed under: Mannheimia haemolytica
Lineage: Bacteria; Pseudomonadati; Pseudomonadota; Gammaproteobacteria; Pasteurellales; Pasteurellaceae
Source: RNAcentral
CCCGACGACAAGAGUGCUGUGGUCCUACCUGACCCCAUACCGAACUCAGAAGUAAAACGCAGUAACGUCGAUGGUAGUGUGGUGAUUCGCCAUGUGAGUAGAGCAUCGUCGGGU